UGGAGAUGUGGUGCCACAUAACCCUGGCUGUC
This 32-nucleotide non-coding RNA is filed under the name Mus musculus (house mouse). Lineage: Eukaryota; Metazoa; Chordata; Mammalia; Rodentia; Muridae. The record is from RNAcentral.